RNAcentral lists this microRNA precursor (64 nucleotides) under Drosophila ananassae. Its description in RNAcentral is "Dan-Mir-971_pre stem-loop". Lineage: Eukaryota; Metazoa; Arthropoda; Insecta; Diptera; Drosophilidae. The record is from RNAcentral.
ACUGUAAAUUGUAACCAUCAAAGCGUUUUUUAUCAGAGCCGCUUGGUGUUACUUCUUACAGUGA